Molecule: ribosomal RNA, 383 nt
Filed under: uncultured eukaryote
Lineage: Eukaryota
Description: partial 18S ribosomal RNA
Rfam family: Eukaryotic small subunit ribosomal RNA
Source: RNAcentral
CAAUAGCGUAUAUUAAAGUUGUUGCAGUUAAAAAGCUCGUAGUUGGAUUUCUGGUGGGAGCGAUCGGUCUGGCGCUUAGCGCGAGUACUUGCAUCGUCUCCGGCCAUCCUUGGGGAGAGUCUGUCUGGCAUUAAGUUGUCGGGCAGAGGAUCCUCAUCGUUUACUGUGAAAAAAUUAGAGUGUUCAAAGCAGGCUUAUGCCGUUGAAUAUAUUAGCAUGGAAUAAUAAGAUAGGACUUUGGUACUAUUUUGUUGGUUUGCGCACCAAAGUAAUGAUUAAUAGGGACAGUUGGGGGUAUUCGUAUUCCGUUGUCAGAGGUGAAAUUCUUGGAUUUACGGAAGACGAACUACUGCGAAAGCAUUUGCCAAGGAUGUUUUCAUUGA